Molecule: ribosomal RNA, 422 nt
Filed under: uncultured cyanobacterium
Lineage: Bacteria; Bacillati; Cyanobacteriota
Description: bacterial SSU rRNA
Rfam family: Bacterial small subunit ribosomal RNA
Source: RNAcentral
GGAAUUUUCCGCAAUGGGCGAAAGCCUGACGGAGCAACGCCGCGUGAGGGAUGAAGGCCUCUGGGCUGUAAACCUCUUUUAUCAAGGAAGAAGAUCUGACGGUACUUGAUGGAUAAGCCACGGCUAAUUCCGUGCCAGCGGCCGCGGUAAUACGGGAGUGGCAAGCGUUAUCCGGAAUUAUUGGGCGUAAAGCGUCCGCAGGCGGUCUGUCAAGUCUGCUGUUAAAGCGUGGAGCUCAACUCCAUUUCGGCAGUGGAAACUGACAGACUAGAGUGUGGUAGGGGCAGAGGGAAUUCCCGGUGUAGCGGUGAAAUGCGUAGAUAUCGGGAAGAACACCAGUGGCGAAGGCGCUCUGCUGGGCCAUAACUGACGCUCAUGGACGAAAGCCAGGGGAGCGAAAGGGAUUAGAUACCCCAGUAGUC